This is a non-coding RNA of Lupinus angustifolius (narrow-leaved blue lupine), 97 nucleotides long. The record is from Rfam. NCBI's taxonomy places the organism in Eukaryota, Viridiplantae, Streptophyta, Magnoliopsida, Fabales, Fabaceae.
GACUAUGAUGAUUGCUUCAAAUAUUCUGACACCUCUUGUAUGAGAUGGGUCUUUGUUAAAGAUUCAUUUUUGAGCACAUAAAGCAACUCUCUGAGUC